This 376-nucleotide ribosomal RNA is filed under the name Serratia liquefaciens. RNAcentral's name for it is "bacterial SSU rRNA". It matches the Rfam family "Bacterial small subunit ribosomal RNA", at positions 66 to 448 of the family's 1533-position model. Lineage: Bacteria; Pseudomonadati; Pseudomonadota; Gammaproteobacteria; Enterobacterales; Yersiniaceae. The record is from RNAcentral.
GCCGUAACUUGCUCUCUGGGUGACGAGCGGCGGACGGGUGAGUAAUGUCUGGGAAACUGCCUGAUGGAGGGGGAUAACUACUGGAAACGGUAGCUAAUACCGCAUAAUGUCUACNGACCAAAGUGGGGGACCUUCGGGCCUCAUGCCAUCAUAUGUGCCCAUAUGGGAUUAGCUAAUAUGUGGGGUAGUGGCUCACCUAGGCCACGAUCCCUAUCUGGUCUGAGAGGAUGACCAGCCACACUGGAACUGAGACACGGUCCAAACUCCUACGGGAGGCAGCAGUGGGGAAUAUUGCACAAUGGGCGCAAGCCUGAUGCAGCCAUGCCGCGUGUGUGAACAAGGCCUUCGGGUUGUAAAGCUCUUUCNNCGAAGAGGA